Molecule: ribosomal RNA, 402 nt
Filed under: uncultured bacterium
Lineage: Bacteria
Description: partial 16S ribosomal RNA
Rfam family: Bacterial small subunit ribosomal RNA
Source: RNAcentral
UUGGGAAUCUUGGACAAUGGGGGAAACCCUGAUCCAGCCAUGCCGCGUGAGUGAUGAAGGCCUUCGGGUUGUAAAACUCUUUCGACGGGGACGAUAAUGACGGUACCCGUAGAAGAAGCUCCGGCUAACUUCGUGCCAGCAGCCGCGGUAAUACGAAGGGGGCUAGCGUUGUUCGGAAUUACUGGGCGUAAAGCGCGCGCAGGCGGUUUUCCAAGUCAGUGUUGAAAGCCCGGAGCUAAACUCCGGAACUGCCAUUGAAACUGUUGAACUUGAGGACGAGAGAGGUGAGUGGAAUUCCCAGUGUAGAGGUGAAAUUCGUAGAUAUUGGGAAGAACACCAGUGGCGAAGGCGGCUCACUGGCUCGUUUCUGACGCUCAGGCGCGAUAGCGUGGGGAUCAAACA